This 231-nucleotide unclassified non-coding RNA is filed under the name Hevea brasiliensis (rubber tree). Lineage: Eukaryota; Viridiplantae; Streptophyta; Magnoliopsida; Malpighiales; Euphorbiaceae. The record is from RNAcentral.
GCCUGUAACAAAUUUAUCUCAUUGUGCGAGAGAAGACCAGACCUGAUCAAUCAAAGGAAGCUAGGUGUUGAGGAGCCAGUGGUCAGGGCUUCAUGGGGAUCUGACAUGUCAAUUGAUGACCCAUCUGCCACUUAGACCCCAUAAUGUUAGGGCCCACCAAUCCUCGUUACAAAAUAAACACCAACACCAGCAAGCCGGCCGAGAACAACAACUAGAUUUAACGCAAAGGCA